This 247-nucleotide long non-coding RNA is filed under the name Zostera marina. RNAcentral describes it as "long non-coding RNA (ZMAR_LNC002025)". The record is from RNAcentral. Lineage: Eukaryota; Viridiplantae; Streptophyta; Magnoliopsida; Alismatales; Zosteraceae.
AUCAGGUACCUUUUCUCCUUCUGGAGUCGAUUCCUGGUCCACUUCCUCUUGUUUUUCAAUUUCUACAAACUCAGUUUCAUCCACAGACAUUCUGAAUAAUUUGCCUUUUCUACCCGAGCAUACACUGUUAUGGCUUGCUGAAAAUCUCUUAUCACAGUUGAAGCACAAUCCCUUGCUUCUUCUUUUAGCCCUUUCAGUUGCAGAUAACCUCUUAGAUCCUGGAAUUGUAUCAGAGGUCUUACUAUUA